Oreochromis niloticus (Nile tilapia) is the source of this 3327-nucleotide long non-coding RNA. The record is from Ensembl. Lineage: Eukaryota; Metazoa; Chordata; Actinopteri; Cichliformes; Cichlidae.
AUGAAGCUAGGUAUAGCAUGUUAUGUUUGUUUUUUUCUUAAAUUUAUAUGUAAAAUACACAACAUGUUUACAAUGAAAAUUCUCUUUAAUGUUUUAGUGUUAUUACAGAUCAAAAUGACAGAUCAAAACAAAGAGCAGUGUGGUGUUGCCAAGAAUCUAAAGAGAGACACUGAAACUGCCGCUGAUAAUUUGAGCCUCGAGACAAACAAAGUCACAAACCCACAGACACAAAAAGGUAAGAUGAGUUCUGUGAACGUGUUAGUCUGCAGUCCUCUGAGGCUGCUACAUGUGAUAUUUAUACCUAAAGAGCAAUCUGCCGUUAGACCAAAAUUAACCUGUGGUAACAGCUAGAUGAUAAGUUAACUCUUAAAAUGCUACUCUACAAUAUAUAAUGUGUAUCCUACAAUAUAUGUUCUGUUAUUUUCUUUUCCAGAUAAAGGUGAACCCUCGUUUCACACAUUACACUCUACUUUCAUUGACAACAAUACUCUGCAGCCUCUAUAUGGUGACUAUUCAUAUUUUAAUUCUUAACUAUAUUAUAUUGUAUGAAGUAUUUUACACACAUUUUCUCACACAAGUUUGAAAAGUAAAUUAAAGCUGACUGUUAUGAGAAAUGGGCAAAUACAAUUCCUCUGUUGCUUCAGACAUACAAUAUACAGACUUCAGACAGACUAGACAGACCUGCAAGCAACAUCAGCCUGCUCAAAGGCCUGUUUUUCACUUUUGUUUAGUGUUGGUUUCACUUGUCCAGAUUUUUACAUUUUUGUUUUUCAACCCUAUAUGAGCAGGACCUUGGCUUGUAGUUAGUGCUUCUGCCUCAGUGCAGGAGGAUCUGCACCUUGGUAUCCACUUUAUGCAGCUAUUUAAAACACAUCCUACGCUAAUGCUGUAUAAGCUCCACAACAGUUUUCCUGGUUAAGCCAAAACUUUAACUUUGUAGUUGAAUCUGUGUUUUAAAAAUAGAAUCUGGGUUUUAGUGUAGAGAUUGAAAAAAUAACUUCCUCUAAUACUUCCUCUGGGUAUUAUAAAAAACUUGGCAUCUCAAGCAUUAAGCAUCAUACCAAUGCUUAGCACAAAGAAAAUAUUGUAGAGGUUUAAGUAACGCAAGUCCUUUCCCAUUAGAAAUAAAAAUGUUUCCAUUGUCAACUACCAGUGACUGAAGUGAGCCUGUUCCCGUCAGGGAAGGGGAAGAAAACAUGGUUCAAAAGUCUAAGGGGCUUGGAAAGAAAGGUGUUUCUUUAAGUUUCUUGAAGACAUUUCUGACACCCGUUUUCACACCUUGGCUCAUGUGAUUAGGCAGAGCAUCACUAGGGGGUCAUGACCCUCUUAGGGACACUUCCAAUAGGGCUUAAACAUCUGGGACUCUUCACUAAUUGCUCUCAGAACUGAAGAAGCUUCUUUAAGUUUGUUGAAGACAUUUCACCUCUUAUCCAAGAAGUCCAGACGCUUUUCUUUCCAAGCUCCUUAGAUUACAAUGACCUGGAUGACUGAGAACCUUCACAGACAUGGUUCAAAUGUUAAAAAUGUAUGUAAAAAUGUAUGCAUGUUCUUAAUAAUAGGAAUAAAAUAUCAAUUUCUCCUAGGUUUCGUAACAUAAUUUCAGUUUUUUAAAUAUUAUAUAUACAAAGGCUUGCUUUUUGGUUAUUUCCAUAGAUUCCGUAGAUUCAGGAGAAUGCAGCUUCAUGGUGCAAGCUACUCUGUCAGAUCCAGCUUUAACUCCUCAGGAAUGCCAAUAUUCUGCAAUUAAGUGGUGAAGUAUGGGAUUCUUUUGUUUUUUGGUUGUUGUUUCUUUUUUUACUCCAUUUCAUGACUGUAAACCCAAAGAAAGAUUUCCUUAUUUUUUUUCUAAAUGGAUGAAAAUGAUGUGAUUCUGUUGGCUUCAUUGUGUGCUGGCCUACAGCUUGCUAUGCAACGGUUCGCAGCAGAGUGUGAAGCGGUGGGAAUGAGAAUCAGCACCUCCAAAUCUGAGGCCAUGGUCCUCAGCCGGAAAAGGGUGGAGUACCCACUCUGGGUUAGGGAUGAGUUCUUGCCCCAAGUGAAGGAGUUUAAGUAUCUUGGGGUCUUGUUCACGAAUGACGAGAGAAGGGAGUGUGAGAUCAAAAGAAGGAUUGGUGCAGCGGCCGCAGUGAUGCGGCUGCCUCAAGUACAUUGAGUACUACUAAAUUUAACAGCUUAAGUGCAUUUCUUUCAGUUCAACAGUAUCUUCUUGGCCUCUGCUACACACUAUGCUGUUAAUAUUCAACAAAUAUACUGAUUAUAUGAAUAAAUAAAUAUUUUUAAAAAUAUAUUAAAUGCAAAGACAACAUGUACUUUUAAAUAUCUGAAUGACAUAUUUGAUGGAUUAUACUGUCAACUGCUGAAACUCUAAAGUGAAAUAAAACAAAAACCAAAGAACAGAUGGGUCAAAAGCAUAUUUGGAAGUAAUUUGUCACAUGAAUCAUGUCUUUGUCACCACCUAGUGGUAGGAAACAUAUUUGUUGAACACAGAUGAAUCUUGUACAACAAAACAUGACUUAGUUCUGGUUUAGCUCUGGUUAUUAAAAAUACUAAUCCUCUUUUCUCCCUCUUUACAGAUCAGUGAAAGGAGUGUCAGCUCAAUCAAGGAGAUUGUGCAACCCGUUUACUGUGCUGUUUCAUUUGCUAAGACUGGGUCACAUUUCUUAAAUAUUCAUCUCGGGGUACCUUUUCAGUCUGUGUAUAUUUGGAAUAAGACGAGUUGAGUUAAAUGUGAGUAAAAUUCAAAAACAUGCUUUACAACAUAUUUUUUUAGCUUGGUUGUGUUAUUGUCAUGGUCCCUGCGGAGGGAUAGAGUUUUGUGUGCGAGGGAUACCCUGUGAGGAGUGAGGGGAGCGGAGCGUGUGUGGAGAUCUUGUAUUUCCCUGACCCUGUGGACCCCUGGAACCCUGGACCCCUGGCCUUUCCCCCCCACAUAUAUAUAGUGCACCCGGUGUGGAUUAAUAAAGAACUGUUUAACUGUAUCUCUCAGUGUGCGCCUGAAUCCGUCCUGCCUGUCUUGACAGUUACAGUGAAAAUAUUGUGUUGUAAUGCAAACAAAUGAAAUUCAAAAAAAUGAUGCAAUAAUUAAUUAUCAUGUAGCCACAAGAUAAUUCGUUUGAUGUAAUGUAAAUAAAUGUGGAAUCGCUUAACAAAUUUUUUGUCAGGAUUUCUCAUUUGUCAUGAUUUAAUGUUGCAGUCUUUGCUUUGUUUCAUGAUUUCUACAAAAGAAAAUUAAAAUUAACUUAUAAAUUUCAUUUCCAGAUACAAAUUCUGUUUACAUAUCAUACCCCUUCUUUCUCUUGUGAAAAGAGAUGUAAUUAAAUGAUAAUG